Lycium barbarum (goji berry) is the source of this 2845-nucleotide RNA transcript. It is a transcript of the gene named DNA mismatch repair protein MLH1, with no coding region annotated. NCBI's taxonomy places the organism in Eukaryota, Viridiplantae, Streptophyta, Magnoliopsida, Solanales, Solanaceae. The record is from RefSeq and is a predicted model, not a curated record. The transcript has 17 exons.
UUGGCGCCAAACAGUUGGGCCUGGGUAAAGCCUGUCCAUAAAUACCCAUCCACCAGCACACUGUACAAUACAAAAUAGCAUAGCAGUGUACAAUCAUGGAAAUUGAAGAUGAACCGAUUCCAAUGGAAGAUGAAACCAUUAUUCCAGUGAAGGAGCCACCUAAGAUUCAACGGUUGGAUGAAUCAGUGGUGAACAGAAUCGCGGCUGGGGAAGUAAUCCAACGGCCAGUAUCUGCUGUGAAAGAGCUAAUUGAGAACAGCUUGGAUGCUAAUUCCACAUCUAUUUCGGUUGUUGUUAAGGAUGGUGGUCUUAAACUUAUCCAAGUUUCCGAUGAUGGUCAUGGCAUCCGUUAUGAGGAUUUGCCAAUUUUAUGCGAGAGGCAUACGACGUCGAAGCUGAGUAAAUUUGAAGAUUUGCAGUCGAUUAGGUCGAUGGGAUUUAGAGGAGAAGCAUUGGCUAGCAUGACCUAUGUGGGUCAUGUCACUGUCACCACCAUUACCAUGGGCCAGUUGCAUGGAUACAGGGCAACAUAUAGAGAUGGUUUGAUGGAGGAUGAGCCAAAAGCUUGUGCGGCUGUCAAGGGUACCCAGAUGAUGAUUGAAAAUUUGUUUUAUAACAUGGCUGCACGAAGGAAAACCCUUCAGAAUUCUGCCGAUGACUAUCCAAAAAUUGUCGACCUUAUUAGUAGGUUUGCAGUUCAUCACACACAUGUGAGCUUCUCUUGUAGAAAGCAUGGAGCUGGUAGAGCAGAUGUUCACACUCUCGCUACUUCUUCAAGGCUUGAUGCAAUUAGAUCUGUUUAUGGAGUUUCAGUUGCUCGAAAUCUGAUAAAAAUCGAAGUUUCUGAUACUGGUCCAUCAAAUUCAGUUUUUAGGAUGGAUGGUUUCAUCUCCAACUCUAAUUAUAUUGCAAAGAAGAUAACCAUGGUGCUUUUCAUAAAUGAUAGACUCGUUGAUUGUGGUGCUUUGAAGAGGGCAAUUGAAAUAGUCUAUACUGCAACAUUGCCUAAAGCAUCAAAACCUUUCAUAUACAUGUCAAUCAUUUUGCCACCUGAGCAUGUUGAUGUGAAUAUACACCCAACAAAGAGAGAGGUAAGCCUUCUGAAUCAAGAGUUCUUCAUUGAGAAGAUCCAGUCUGUAGUAGAGUCAAAAUUGAGAAGCUGCAAUGUGUCAAGGACAUUCCAGGAACAGACCAUUGAAUUCUCUUCAUCCAGUCCAAUGGCCACAAUUAAAGAUUCCACUAAAGAUCCGUCUCCUUCUGGGAUAAAGUCGCAAAAAGUGCCACGUAAGAUGGUACGAACAGAUACUUUGGACCCUUCUGGAAGGUUGCAUGCUUACAUGCAAAUGAAGCCUCCUAGUAAUUCAGAAAGAGGUUCUUGCUUGAGCUCUGUGAGGUCUUCUAUCAGACAAAGGAGGAAUCCUAGUGAAACCGCAGACCUCACUAGCAUCCAGGAGCUUGUUAAUGAGGUUGAUAAUGAUUGUCACCCUGGUCUAUUGGAUGUUGUUAGGCAUUGCACAUAUACUGGGAUGGCGGAUGAGAGUUUUGCUUUACUUCAACACAACACACACCUUUAUCUUGUUAAUGUGAUUAACUUGAGUAAAGAGCUUAUGUAUCAGCAAGUUUUACGUCGGUUUGCCCAUUUCAAUGCAAUUCAACUGAGUGAACCAGCAUCAUUACCUGAGUUAAUAAUGCUUGCUCUGAAAGAAGAGGGUACAGAUCCAGAAGGCAAUGAAAGCAAUGAGCUAAGAGGAAAGAUUGCCGAGAUGAAUACAGAACUGCUCAAGCAAAAGGCUGAAAUGCUAGAGGAGUAUUUUGGUAUUUGUAUCGAUUCAAAUGGCAAUGUGUCUAGACUUCCUGUUAUACUGGAUCAGUACACACCUGACAUGGACCGCAUCCCAGAACUUAUACUUUGUUUGGGAAAUGAUGUUGACUGGGAGGACGAGAAAGUUUGUUUUCAGACAAUUGCUGCUGCCUUAGGAAAUUUUUAUGCCAUGCAUCCACCUUUAUUGCCCAAUCCCUCAGGUGAUGGCUUGAAAUUCUACAGAAAGAGAGUGCUUUCAAGUGGUUCAGAAGGAACUUCUAUAGAAAACAUAGAUAAUGAUACCAUGGAGGCUGAAUUUGAGGAAGAAUUACUUUUGGAAGCCGAAAAUGCCUGGGCUCAACGUGAAUGGUCAAUUCAGCAUGUUCUGUUUCCCGCCCUCAGGCUCUUCUUCAAGCCCCCUACUUCCAUGGCUACAAAUGGAACUUUUGUUCAGGUCGCAUCACUGGAAAAGCUCUACAGAAUUUUCGAGAGAUGUUAAAUGUAGGAGAAUUUUGAUGUGACCUCCUUGAAACAAAAGGAUGUACAAAAUGUACAGUUACUGAUAUGAGAAUGAAAUUCCCCGGCCCCUAACCCUGAAGAACAAAAAGAUGAAGCAGUUACAAGUUCUUUUUGGCAGUGAAGAUGGUCGGAUUGGUUAUAGUGCCCCUCAAGUGUUUUGUUGUGCUCUUCAUACGUUUGUUGUCAAAAGAAGCAAAAUGGAAGCUCAAUGCAGGAAGAGGUUUGGACAAGCUGAAGAGCAUGGAGGGGAAGGAGAAUAUGGUAAUGCUUCAAAUAAGACUGUUCUCUCUAAUCAUUUGGUAUGAUUUUUUGCAAUAUGGAUAUCUUAAUUGACUUAUCCUCAUGUGUGUUUACUACAAUUGAAAAAAAAUAUAUAUUAUAUAAUUAGAAUUCUAUGAAGCAGACAUGUGUAACAUGUUGACGGAGAGAUGCUUAACUCCCACUUAUAAGGUGUAGUAAAUCCCAUCGCCGCCAUUUUAUCUUUUGCUUCAUUAGUGUUUCUAUUCCCUCUUGAUAAUUUUUGAU